RNAcentral lists this transfer RNA (85 nucleotides) under Deltaproteobacteria bacterium. Its description in RNAcentral is "tRNA-Leu". It matches the Rfam family "tRNA". From Rfam's summary of the family: Transfer RNA (tRNA) molecules are approximately 80 nucleotides in length. Their secondary structure includes four short double-helical elements and three loops (D, anti-codon, and T loops). Further hydrogen bonds mediate the characteristic L-shaped molecular structure. tRNAs have two regions of fundamental functional importance: the anti-codon, which is responsible for specific mRNA codon recognition, and the 3' end, to which the tRNAs corresponding amino acid is attached (by aminoacyl-tRNA synthetases). tRNAs cope with the degeneracy of the genetic code in two manners: having more than one tRNA (with a specific anti-codon) for a particular amino acid; and 'wobble' base-pairing, i.e. permitting non-standard base-pairing at the 3rd anti-codon position. Lineage: Bacteria; Pseudomonadati; Myxococcota; Myxococcia. The record is from RNAcentral.
GCCAAGGUGGCGAAACUGGUAAACGCACGGGACUCAAAAUCCCGCGGGCUUUACGCUCUUGAGGGUUCGACUCCCUCCCUUGGCA